This is a long non-coding RNA of Orcinus orca (killer whale), 3103 nucleotides long. RefSeq lists it as uncharacterized. Lineage: Eukaryota; Metazoa; Chordata; Mammalia; Artiodactyla; Delphinidae. The record is from RefSeq and is a predicted model, not a curated record. The transcript is spliced from 2 exons.
UUUGCCAACCACAACGCUAUGAGACUAGAUAUCAAUUACAGGAAAAAAUCUGUAAAAAAUACAAACACAUGGAGGCUAAACAACAAACUACUACAAAGCCAAGAGAUCACUGAAGAUAUCCGAGAGGAAAUAAAAAAAUACCUAGAAACAAAUGACAAAACAGGACGACCCAAAAUCUAUGGGACACAGCAAAAGCAGUUCUAAAAGGGAAGUUUAUAGCAAAACAAUCCUACCUCAAGACAGAAGAAACAUCUCAAACAACCUAACCUUACAUCUAAAGCAAAGAGAAAGAAGAACAAAAAAACCCCAAAGUUAGCAGAAGGAAAGAAAUCAUAAAGAUGAGAUCAGAAAUAAAUGGAAAGCAAAUGAAAGAAACAACAGCAAAGGUCAAUAAAACUAAAAGCUGGUUCUCUGAGAAAAUAAACAAAAUUGAAAAACCAUUAGCCGGACUCAUCAAGAAAAAAGGGGAGAAGACUCAAAUCAAUAGAAUUAGAAAUGAAAAAGGAGCAGUAACAACAGACACUGCAGAAAUACAAAGGAUCAUAAGAGAUUACUACAAGCAACUCUAUGCCAAUAAAAUGGACAACCUGGAAGAAAUGGACAAAUUCUUAGAAAAGCACAACCUUCCAAGACUGAACCAGGAAGAAACAGAAAAUAUAAACAGACCAAUCACAAGCACUGAAAUUGAGACUGUGAUUAAAAAUCUUCCAACAAACAAAAGCCCACGACCAGAUGGCUUCACAGGUGAAUUCUAUCAAACAUUUAGAGAACAGCUAAUACCUAUCCUUCUCAAAGUCUUGCAAAAUAUAGCAGAGGGAGGAUCACUCCCAAACUCAUUCUACGAGGCCACCAUCACCCUGAUACCAAAACCAGCCAAUAUGUCACAAAGAAAGAAAACUACAGGCCAAUAUCACUGAUGAACAUAGAUGCAAAAAUCCUCAACAAAAUACUAGCAAACAGAAUCCAACAGCACAUUAAAAGGAUCAUACACCAUGAUCAAGUGGGGUUUAUCCCAGAAGUGCAAGGAUUCUUCAAUAUACGCAAAUCAAUCAAUAUACGUAAAUCAAUCAAUUAACAAAUGCAGGAGAAAAACCAUAUGAUCAUCUCAAUAGAUGGAGAAAAAGCUUUCGACAAAAUUCAACACCCAUUUAUGAUAAAAACCCUCCAGAAAGUAUGCGUAGAGGGAACUUACCUCAACAUAAUAAAGGCCAUAUAUGACAAACCCACAGCCAACAUCAUUCUCAAUGGUGAAAAACUGAAACCAUUUCCUCUAAGAUCAGGAACAAGACAAGGUUGCCCACUCUCAGCACUCUUAUUCAACAUAGUUUUGGAAGUUUUAGCCACAGCAAUCAGAGAAGAAAAGGAAAUAAAAGGAAUCCAAAUCGGAAAAGAAGAAGUAAAGCUGUCACUGUUUGCAGAUGACAUGAUACUAUACAUAGAGAAUCCUAAAGAUGCUACCAGAAAACUACUAGAGCUAAUCAAUGAAUUUGGUAAAGUAGCAGGAUACAAAAUUAAUGCACAGAAAUCUCCUGGCAUUCCUAUACACUAAUGAAAAAUCUGAAAGUGAAAUCAAGGAAACACUCCCAUUUACCAUUGCAACAAAAAGAGUAAAAUAUCUAGGAGUAAACCUACCUAAGGAGACAAAAGACCUGUAUGCAGAAAAUUGUAAGACACUGAUGACAGAAAUUAAAGAUGAUAGAAAUAGAUGGAGAGAUAUACCGUGUUCUCGGAUUGGAAGAAUCAACAUUGUGAAAAUGACUAUACUACCCAAAGCAAUCUACAGAUUCAGUGCAAUCCCUAUCAAACUACCACUGGCGUUUUUCACAGAACUAGAACAAAAAAUUUCACAUUUUGUAUGGAAACACAAAAGACCCCGAAUAGCCAAAAUAAUCUUGAGAAUGAAAAACGGAGCUGGAGGAAUCAGGCUCCCUGACUUCAGACUAUACUACAAAGCUACAGUAAUCAAGACAGUAUGGUACUGGCACAAAAACAGAAAGAUCAGUGGAACAGGAUAGAAAGCCCAGAGAUAAACCCACACACAUAUUGUCACCUUACCUUUGAUAAAGGAGGCAGGAAUGUACAGUGGAGAAAGGACAGCCUGUUCAAUAAGUGGUGCUGGGAAAACUGGACAUGUACAUGUAAAAGUAUGAGAUUAGAUCACUCCCUAACACCAUACACAAAAAUAAGCUCAAAAUGGAUUAAAGACAUAAAUGUAAGGCCAGAAACUAUCAAACUCUUAGAGGAAAACAUAGGCAGAACACUCUAUGACAUAAAUCACAGCAAGAUCCUUUUUGACCCACCUCCUAGAGAAAUGGAAAUAAAAACACAAAUAAACAAAUGGGGCCUAAUGAAACUUCAAAACUUUUGCACAGCAAAGGAAACCAUAAACACGACCAAAAGACAACCCUCAGAAGGGAAGAAAAUAUUUGCAAAUGAAGCAUCUGACAAAGGGUUAAUCUUCAAAAUUUACAAGCAGCUCAUGCCGCUCAAUAACAAAAAAACAACCCAAUCCAAAAAUGGGCAGAAGACCUAAAUAGACAUUUCUGCAAAGAAGAUAUAUAGACUGCCAACAAACACAUGAAAGAGUGCUCAACAUCAUUAAUCAUUAGAGAAAUGCAAAUCAAAACUACAAUGAGAUAUCAUCUCACACCAGUCAGAAUGGCCAUCAUCAAAAAAUCUACAAACAAUAAAUGCUGGAGAGGGUGUGGAGAAAAGGGAACACUCUUGCACUGCUGCUGGGAAUGUGAAUUGGUAUAGCCACUAUGGAGAACAGUACGGAGGUUCCUUAAAAAACUACAAAUAGAACUACCGUAUGACCCAGCAAUCCCACUACUGGGCAUAUACCCUGAGAAAACCAUAAUUCAUAAAGAGUCAUGUACCAAAAUGUUCAUUGCAGCUGUUUUUACAAUAGCCCGGAGAUGGAAACAACCUAAGUGUCCAUCAUCGGAUAGAUGUAUAAAGAAGAUGAGGCACAUAUAUGCAAUGGAAUAUUACUCAGCCAUAGAAAGAAACGAAGUUGAGCUAUUUGUAAUGAGGUGGAUAGACCUAGAGUCUGUCAUACAGAGUGAAGUAAGUCAGAAAGAGAAAGACAAAUAUCGUAUGC